RNAcentral lists this ribosomal RNA (650 nucleotides) under uncultured archaeon. RNAcentral's name for it is "bacterial SSU rRNA". It matches the Rfam family "Archaeal small subunit ribosomal RNA", at positions 88 to 724 of the family's 1478-position model. The record is from RNAcentral.
GCUCAGUAACACGUGGCUAACCUACCCUUGAGACGGAGACACCCCGGGAAACUGGGGCUAAUCCCAGAUAGAUGAGAACUCCUGGAACGGGUUCUCGUCCAAAAGGCGUCUAGGUCAUGCUUCUAGGCGUCGCUCAAGGAUGGGGCCGCGGCCGAUCAGGCUGUUGGUGAGGCAACGGCUCACCAAACCUUUAACCGGUACGGGCCGUGGGAGCGGGUGCCCGGAGAUGGGAACUGAGACAAGGUCCCAGGCCCUACGGGGCGCAGCCGUUGCGAAAACUCGUCAAUGCACGAAAGUGUGAACGGGCUACCCCGAGUGCUGUCCGCUGAGGAUGGCUUUUCUCUGCUGUAAGGAGGCGGAGGAAUAAGGAGAGGGCAAGUCUGGUGUCAGCCGCCGCGGUAAUACCAGCUCUCCGAGUGGUGGGGAUGUUUAUUGGGCUUAAAGCGUCCGUAGCCUGCCCUUCAAGUCUUUCGUUAAAUCCAGCGAUUNCAAUCGUUGGACCGCGGGAGAUACUGUUGGGCUAGGGGGCGGGAGAAGCCGACCGUAUNUCCGGGGUAGGGGUAANNNCUAUAAUCCCGGGAGGACCACCAGUGGCGUANGCGGUCCGCUAGCCGUGCUCGACGGUGAGGGACGAAGCUGGGGGAGCAAAC